ACGUAGUUGGCCGCACCUUCUUCUGCAGGUACCGUCAUUUUCUUCCCUGCUGAAAGCGGUUUACAACUCUAGGGCCGUCUUCCCGCACGCGGCGUUGCUGCAUCAGGCUUUCGCCCAUUGUGCAAGAUUCCUU
This 133-nucleotide ribosomal RNA is filed under the name uncultured bacterium. RNAcentral describes it as "partial 16S ribosomal RNA". The record is from RNAcentral.